RNAcentral lists this ribosomal RNA (372 nucleotides) under uncultured organism. RNAcentral describes it as "bacterial SSU rRNA". It matches the Rfam family "Bacterial small subunit ribosomal RNA", at positions 526 to 896 of the family's 1533-position model. The record is from RNAcentral.
CGUAGGGUGCGAGCGUUAAUCGGAAUUACUGGGCGUAAAGCGUGCGCAGGCGGUUUAGUAAGACAGGCGCGAAAUCCCCGGGCUCAACCUGGGAACUGCGCUUGUGACUGCUAAGCUAGAGUACGGCAGAGGGGGGUGGAAUUCCACGUGUAGCAGUGAAAUGCGUAGAGAUGUGGAGGAACACCAAUGGCGAAGGCAGCCCCCUGGGUCGAUACUGACGCUCAUGCACGAAAGCGUGGGUAGCAAACAGGAUUAGAUACCCUGGUAGUCCACGCCCUAAACGAUGUCAACUAGGUGUUGGGAGGGUAAAACCUUUUAGUACCGGAGCUAACGUGUGAAGUUGACCGCCUGGGGAGUACGGCCGCAAGGUUA